This 469-nucleotide ribosomal RNA is filed under the name uncultured Lachnospiraceae bacterium. RNAcentral's name for it is "bacterial SSU rRNA". It matches the Rfam family "Bacterial small subunit ribosomal RNA", at positions 45 to 507 of the family's 1533-position model. Lineage: Bacteria; Bacillati; Bacillota; Clostridia; Lachnospirales; Lachnospiraceae. The record is from RNAcentral.
CGCUUAACACACUGUCAAGUCGAACGGAAGAGUAUGCAGAGAUGGAUUUCGGUCAAAUCAAGUGUAUCUUUAGUGGCGGACGGGUGAGUAACGCGUGGGUAACCUAGCCAUAUACAGGGGAUAACACUUAGAAAUAGGUGCUAAUACCGCAUAAGCGCACAUGGCCGCAUGGCCAGGUGUGAAAAACUCCGGUGGUAUAUGAUGGACCCGCGUCUGAUUAGCUAGUUGGUGAGGUAACGGCCCACCAAGGCGACGAUCAGUAGCCGGCCUGAGAGGGUGGACGGCCACAUUGGGACUGAGACACGGCCCAAACUCCUACGGGAGGCAGCAGUGGGGGAUAUUGGACAAUGGGGGGAACCCUGAUCCAGCGACGCCGCGUGAGUGAAGAAGUAUCUCGGUAUGUAAAGCUCUAUCAGCAGGGAAGAAAGAAAUGACGGUACCUGAGUAAGAAGCCCCGGCUAACUAUGUG